GACGAACGCUGGCGGCGUGCUUAACACAUGCAAGUCGAACGGAAAGGCCCUGCAUUUGUGGGGUGCUCGAGUGGCGAACGGGUGAGUAACACGUGAGUAACCUGCCCUUGACUUUGGGAUAACUUCAGGAAACUGGGGCUAAUACCGGCUAGGAGCUCCUGCUGCAUGGUGGGGGUUGGAAAGUUUCGGCGGUUGGGGAUGGACUCGCGGCUUAUCAGCUUGUUGGUGGGGUAGUGGCUUACCAAGGCUUUGACGGGUAGCCGGCCUGAGAGGGUGACCGGCCACAUUGGGCCUGAGAUACGGCCCAGACUCCUACGGGAGGCAGCAGUGGGGAAUAUUGCACAAUGGGCGGAAGCCUGAUGCAGCAACGCCGCGUGCGGGAUGACGGCCUUCGGGUUGUAAACCGCUUUCGCCUGUGACGAAGCGUGAGUGACGGUAAUGGGUAAAGAAGCACCGGCUAACUACGUG
Molecule: ribosomal RNA, 468 nt
Filed under: uncultured bacterium
Lineage: Bacteria
Description: partial 16S ribosomal RNA
Rfam family: Bacterial small subunit ribosomal RNA
Source: RNAcentral